Molecule: ribosomal RNA, 525 nt
Filed under: Cladosporium cladosporioides
Lineage: Eukaryota; Fungi; Ascomycota; Dothideomycetes; Cladosporiales; Cladosporiaceae
Description: eukaryotic LSU rRNA
Rfam family: 5.8S ribosomal RNA (bases 172-325)
Source: RNAcentral
UGCGGAGGGAUCAUUACAAGUGACCCCGGUUUACCACCGGGAUGUUCAUAACCCUUUGUUGUCCGACUCUGUUGCCUCCGGGGCGACCCUGCCUUCGGGCGGGGGCUCCGGGUGGACACUUCAAACUCUUGCGUAACUUUGCAGUCUGAGUAAACUUAAUUAAUAAAUUAAAACUUUUAACAACGGAUCUCUUGGUUCUGGCAUCGAUGAAGAACGCAGCGAAAUGCGAUAAGUAAUGUGAAUUGCAGAAUUCAGUGAAUCAUCGAAUCUUUGAACGCACAUUGCGCCCCCUGGUAUUCCGGGGGGCAUGCCUGUUCGAGCGUCAUUUCACCACUCAAGCCUCGCUUGGUAUUGGGCAACGCGGUCCGCCGCGUGCCUCAAAUCGACCGGCUGGGUCUUCUGUCCCCUAAGCGUUGUGGAAACUAUUCGCUAAAGGGUGCUCGGGAGGCUACGCCGUAAAACAACCCCAUUUCUAAGGUUGACCUCGGAUCAGGUAGGGAUACCCGCUGAACUUAAGCAUAUCAA